AACGAACGCUGGCGGCAUGCCUAACACAUGCAAGUCGAACGAGACCUUCGGGUCUAGUGGCGCACGGGUGCGUAACGCGUGGGAACCUGCCUUUAGGUUCGGAAUAACUCAGAGAAAUUUGAGCUAAUACCGGACGAUGUCUUCGGACCAAAGAUUUAUCGCCUUUAGAUGGGCCCGCGUUGGAUUAGCUAGUUGGUGGGGUAAAGGCCUACCAAGGCGACGAUCCAUAGCUGGUCUGAGAGGAUGAUCAGCCACACUGGGACUGAGACACGGCCCAGACUCCUACGGGAGGCAGCAGUGGGGAAUAUUGGACAAUGGGCGAAAGCCUGAUCCAGCAAUGCCGCGUGAGUGAUGAAGGCCUUAGGGUUGUAAAGCUCUUUUACCCGAGAUGAUAAUGACAGUAUCGGGAGAAUAAGCUCCGGCUAACUCCGUG
This 433-nucleotide ribosomal RNA is filed under the name uncultured bacterium. RNAcentral describes it as "partial 16S ribosomal RNA". It matches the Rfam family "Bacterial small subunit ribosomal RNA", at positions 29 to 507 of the family's 1533-position model. The record is from RNAcentral.